RNAcentral lists this unclassified non-coding RNA (4067 nucleotides) under Anthonomus grandis grandis. Its description in RNAcentral is "dystrophin". The record is from RNAcentral. Lineage: Eukaryota; Metazoa; Arthropoda; Insecta; Coleoptera; Curculionidae.
GUUUAUUUUUAUUUUGGGUUUGGCUGUGUUUUUAUUAAAUUACCGUAAAAUUAUGGGUUUAUGUAAUUUCGGUGUCAGUUAUAAAUUGCAAAGGUUAGAUUAAGCUUUGGGGCUUAUUAUCAAUGAAAAACGAUGGUCCACCACUAUAUGUUCAGUCUAAAAAAUCGAAAUAUCCGGGUUACAUGCGCGGUCAUUACCCCUUUGCCUCUUCACAUUGAUUUCUGAUUUUUUUCUGAAAGUAUGACCUUUUGAGGUAUAGUUGCUAAAUUUUAUAAAAAUAGAGGGUUUGGGUACAUAAGAAUCGUCUACAAUGCAGAAGAAGGACGAGGUGUUUGACCAGAAAAAAAUGGAACUAGAGAUUUAUCUCCAGAGGAUGGAGUCGAGAAUUGCCAGCAUGGCUCCUGUGGGUCACACCGCAGAUGUCCUGGAGCUACAACUAAGGGAACAGAAAACUUUACAUGCAGAACUCCAUCAAUUCAAGUCUCAAAUCGAGGCAUUCCAGCAACUCACUCAGAGGCUCAUUACCGCCCACCAACAUGAGGACACCACUAGAUUUAAAAAGGCAGCAGAGUACAUCAACCAACAUUACCUUCAACUGGACGCUUGCGUUAUUAAUCGCGGAAAACUCCUUCACUCUGCGCUAAGUUCUCUUCAGAACUUUGACCGGUCGCUAGACAAAUUUCUUGCGUGGCUCAGUGAGGUUGAAUCGGUGGUGGAAUCUCUGGAAGGCGACACAGAGUCUCGUCGAGCCGCCCACCAACUUAAAGAAAUACAAGCCGACGUAGAGCGUCAGAGUUCAACGCACGCACAACUGAGACAAAGCAAUUUAGCUUUGUUGGGUACUUUAGCCCCUGAGGACGCUCUUAUGGUGCAAUUGAGAGGAGAUGAAAUGGAAAGGCGAUGGCAGGCUUUAAAAACUCGGACAGCCGAUUUGAGGAACCGCUUAGAGCACAACGCGGAUUACUGGAACACAGUCUUGUUAUCUUUAAGGGAAUUAACGGAGUGGGUGAUAAGAAAAGACACUGAAUUGGGUUUGGCUGCGAGGCAGGAUGACCAUAGGGCCUUUAGGCAGCAAUUGGAAGACAAACGGCCCCUGGUGGAGGCCAGUUUGCGCAGCGCGCGUCAGUUCGUGGCUGGCGAUCCCUCUGGUGAGCUAGCCCGAAAUCUUAGGAGGGAACUGGUUAAGCUAUCUGACAAGUGGAAUGCUCUCAUAGACAAAUCUGAUAAGUUGACAGUGAAAUUUGAGCAAAAUUCCAUUAAGCUAAAGCAGCUGACUAGUAGCUUAGAUGAGGCCUGCACGGCAGUUUCUCGUUUGGAGAGAGCUACGUUAACAUGGAGCGGGCCUCGCAGUGCUGCCGAAGCCAGAGAGUUGUUGAAUAACUUGAGGAUUUUGGAGCAGCAGCUGCCACCUUUGCAGAGAUCUCUAGAAGAAGCGAGAAUUCAAGCAAACGCUCUCGGGAACUCUCUUCCUAAUAACUUGGCGGGACAAUUGGAGGAUUGCGGUGCGAGAUGCCGGGCAUUACACGCGGCUAUAAGGGAACGGCGUGAAGUGCUCACCUGCAGUUCUCAAGGAGAAAUCUCUCCUGGUCCCUCGAGUGUGCAACCGCCCUGGGAACGAGCGACUACACCGAUGAAAGUUCCUUACUAUAUUAAUCACAGCACCGAAACUACUCACUGGGAUCAUCCUCAGAUGUUGGAGCUGGCCGCUUGUUUGCUACAACUGAACGAGGUGAGAUUUUCGGCUUAUAGGACGGCACUGAAGUUGAGGGCCAUACAGAAGAAACUUUGUUUGGACUUGGUGGGACUCAAUACGGUGUCUGAGGCUUUCGAUUUGCACGGACUUAGAGCGCAGAAUGAUAAGAUUUUGGAUGUGGCAGACAUGGUGCUCGUUCUACGAGCAAUAUACGGCAACAUCGCCAAUCAAGAGCCAAAUUUAAUCGACGUACCCCUCUGCGUCGAUUUGGCAUUAAAUUGGCUCCUAAACGUCUACGACAGCCAACGUACCGGCCAAAUUAGGGUGCUCAGCUUCAAAGUGGGCCUGACGAUUCUCUCCAAGGGCCAUUUGGAAGAAAAGUACCGUUAUCUGUUCAGAUUGAUCGCCGAUCCGGAGCAAAAAGCGGAUCAAAGGAAACUGGGACUGUUACUGCACGAUGUCCUUCAGGUACCGCGACAACUCGGCGAAGUUGCCGCUUUUGGCGGGUCAAACAUUGAACCAAGUGUGCGCAGCUGUUUAGGUGAGCGUGAAGACUUAGAAGCCGCGCAUUUCUUAGCUUGGCUAAAACAAGAACCACAAUCCCUAGUAUGGUUACCAGUUCUACACCGGAUCGCCGCUGCCGAAAACUCGAAACACCAAGCGAAAUGCAACUGUUGCAAACAGUACCCGAUUAUCGGUCUCAGAUACAGAUGCCUAAAAUGCUUCAACUUCGACAUGUGCCAGAACUGUUUCUUCUCCGGCAAACUGACCAAAGGUCACAAACUCACCCAUCCGAUGCACGAAUACUGCGCCACAACAACUUCGAUCGAAGACGUGCGAGACUUCACCAAAGCCCUUAAAAACAAAUUCAAGAGCAAACGGUACUUCAUGAAACAUCCGCGGGUCGGAUAUCUUCCCGUCCGUUCGGUUUUAGAAGGGGAUGAGUUGGAAAGUCCGGUGGCUUCGCCUCAGCACAACGACAUGCACUCGCGGUUGGAGAUUUACGCUUCGAGGUUGGCCGAGGUGGAGUUGAGAGCCGCCUCGCCGGACGACGAACAUCGAUUGAUCGGGGAUUAUUGUCACUCGUUAGAUGCGCCAGCGAGUCCUGGACAAUUGAUGAUGGUUAUUGAUGAGGAGCAGCGGGUGGAGCUGCAGGAGAUGAUUAGAGAGUUGGAGGUGGAGAACCAGGCGUUGAGGGCGGAAUAUGAACAACUACAGCGUGGGUCCGCACCCCAACACCCGCCGCAGCAACCGCACCACGACGUUUUGGCUGAAGCGCGCCUCCUCAGGCAGCACAAGGGUCGUUUAGAAGCGCGCAUGCAAAUCCUGGAAGACCACAACAGGCAACUGGAGGCACAACUGCAACGGCUACGGCAGCUGUUGGAUGAACCGCCACCUACCGCCACAUUACAAACCAGGAACGUAACGGCUUCGCAGCUGAAUCAGGACAAUCCGGGACGGGGAGCGAACCAACCGCCACCACCACACGAGAGGGUUUGAAGAGGAAUACAUUUGCGUAAAUCAUAUGGUACUACGAAGGUGUGUAAAGACGUGCAUUGGGAGAUGAUUCCACAGACUAGGACUUUUCCAUAAAAAGGAGUUCCGAUAUGACGACGCAUAGACGUUUGCAGAUGCACUCGAUAUUCAUAUGGCGCAACUGCCUGUCAAAUAUCGACUAGGAGACCAUAGGAGACAAAAUGGUGUAAAUAUCACAUACAAUAAUUAUUCCUUAACUCCAGUGAGCUGUUAUGAUAGAAUGGCUCAAUAUUUAAAGGAUUCAGACUAAAUCCAGCAUCUCGAAUCGACUUUUUAUUUCCAGUUUACUGCCUAUCAAAAUAAAAAUAAUAACGACUAGAAAGAACACAAAAAAAAGGAAACUUCAAAGUUGAAAAAAUUAGAUGAUUAAAAGGAACAAUAAGAAGAAUAAAUAGGAAAAUUAAGAAACGAUGACAAAUCAACUUAAAAUACAUCGACUAGGAGACCGUAGGAAAUAAAAUGGUGUGAAGAUCACAUACUGCCACAAAUUGGUCCUUAAUUUCAGUGAUCUGCUAUGACAUAAUAAAGGUUUGAGACUAAAUCCAGCAUACCGAAUCGACUUUUUAUUUCCAGGCCUUUAAGCAGACUCUGUUUAAUUUUCCAGAUUGGCGAAUGGAUCACCACACAAAUAAACUUCCUGACAGGCGAGAUGUUGCAACGCCGCCGUCGCGAAAGUACGUUGGUGUUCGAGGUUGGAGCUCGAUUAUUUUAAAUUUUAUUUUAGUAAGCGUCUGACGUCGGUGAUGCGGCAACAUUUAAAAAAAUAUUACACGGUAUUAAUAUAAUAUUUUUCUAAUGCAGGAAUUACAUGUGUAAAACCCGCAUAGAUUUGUAAUUA